UUGUACAGGUGCUGCAUGGCUGUCGUCAGCUCGUGUCGUGAGAUGUUCGGUUAAGUCCGCUAACGAGCGCAACCCUCGCUGUGUGUUACAAGUGUCACACGGAACUGCCGGUCAUAAACCGGAGGAAGGUGGGGAUGACGUCAAGUCAGCAUGGCCUUUAUAUCCUGGGCUACACACACGCUACAAUGGGAAGGGACAAUAGGUUGCGAAGCCGCGAGGCGGAGCCAAUCCAGCAAAACUUCCCUCAGUUCAGAUUGCAGGCUGCAACUCGCCUGCAUGAAGUUGGAGUUGCUAGUAAACGCAGGUCAGCCAUACUGCGUUGAAUACGUUCCCGGGGCUU
Molecule: ribosomal RNA, 340 nt
Filed under: uncultured Anaerolineaceae bacterium
Lineage: Bacteria; Bacillati; Chloroflexota; Anaerolineae; Anaerolineales; Anaerolineaceae
Description: bacterial SSU rRNA
Rfam family: Bacterial small subunit ribosomal RNA
Source: RNAcentral